Molecule: RNA transcript, 909 nt
Organism: Chinchilla lanigera (long-tailed chinchilla)
Lineage: Eukaryota; Metazoa; Chordata; Mammalia; Rodentia; Chinchillidae
Exons: 5
Source: RefSeq, a predicted model, not a curated record
GGGGAGGGGUGUUGGUCAAGGAGGGGCACAACACGGGGACACUGGGAUUUCCUUUCCUGUCUUCCACGACCUUGCCUCGGCUCAUAGCCAUCUCUGCCGAGUAGGGCGCCUGAGGCCCUUCCCCCAAGGCAACCUCGAGACACCCCCCUCGGUUCUAGCCCGGGGACUGUAAACCUUUCCUAGGAGGAGGCUCGGCCCCAGGCCCCACCUCUUGUCCACUUGUCCGCUUCCGCAGCUCCCUCCCCGCGCUGCAGGCGGCCUCCAAGUCCAGUCCAAGCCUCCCAAAUGCAUGCUCCUGCCCCGCCCCAACCGCGAGGCCACGCCUCUCUCCUCCAAAAGGCCGGCCACAGGCCCCGCCCCGUCCGGAGGACACGCCCCUCCGAGCCCCAGCCGCCUCUCCGGCAGCACUCCCACGGCCUCGCGAUCCGGACCCAGCCUUCAAGUCAGCCCUCGGCCCGCUCACCCGUCACUGAGGUGAAGAAAAGAAAGAAAAGGUGAGGCUCAGAGAGGGGGGAAGAGCCAGAUGUUGUGGCGCAUGCCUGUAAUCCCAGCACUUGGGAGGCUGAGGCAAGAGGAUCGUUGCAAGUUCAAGGCCAGCCUGGGCUACAAAGUGGCUUUGCCAAGCCCCCCACCACAACAGCAUCCAUGGCCUCCCAUGAUCCAGACGAUUGUCUCCAACUUCAUCUCCCACUCACCUGUGCUAAGGUAGCCUUCCUUGUUCCUACCCAUGCUUCAGUGACAACUUUGAUGGGCAGUAUCUUUUCAACAAGAAGUAGCUGGGUUGGUAUCAUGAACCUGUACAGUCGGCUCCUCAUAAGGCAAAGGCAGGAGGAUCACUUGAGCCCAGGAGUUCAGCCUGGGCAGUAUAGCAAGAUUCCACUUCUUAAUAAAAUAAACAAGUGAUGAUGA